UUGAACGCUGGCGGCAUGCCUUACACAUGCAAGUCGAACGGCAGCACGGGAGCAAUCCUGGUGGCGAGUGGCGAACGGGUGAGUAAUAUAUCGGAACGUGCCCAGUCGUGGGGGAUAACGUAGCGAAAGCUACGCUAAUACCGCAUACGAUCUAUGGAUGAAAGCGGGGGAUCGCAAGACCUCGCGCGAUUGGAGCGGCCGAUAUCAGAUUAGGUAGUUGGUGAGGUAAAGGCUCACCAAGCCGACGAUCUGUAGCUGGUCUGAGAGGACGACCAGCCACACUGGGACUGAGACACGGCCCAGACUCCUACGGGAGGCAGCAGUGGGGAAUUUUGGACAAUGGGCGCAAGCCUGAUCCAGCAAUGCCGCGUGCAGGAUGAAGGCCUUCGGGUUGUAAACUGCUUUUGUACGGAACGAAACGGUGAGCUCUAAUACAGUUUGCUAAUGACGGUACCGUAAGAAUAGGCACCGGCUAACUACGUG
Molecule: ribosomal RNA, 483 nt
Filed under: uncultured bacterium
Lineage: Bacteria
Description: bacterial SSU rRNA
Rfam family: Bacterial small subunit ribosomal RNA
Source: RNAcentral